RNAcentral lists this ribosomal RNA (253 nucleotides) under uncultured bacterium. RNAcentral describes it as "partial 16S ribosomal RNA". It matches the Rfam family "Bacterial small subunit ribosomal RNA", at positions 524 to 776 of the family's 1533-position model. The record is from RNAcentral.
UACGUAGGUGGCAAGCGUUGUUCGGAAUUAUUGGGCGUAAAGGGCGCGUAGGCGGUCACGCACGUCCGUUGUGAAAUCGCUCGGCUCAACUGGGCGGGGUCAGCGGAUACGGUGUGACUGGAGCAAGCUAGGGGGCAAUGGAAUUCCCGGUGUAGUGGUGGAAUGCGUAGAUAUCGGGAGGAACACCUAUGGCGAAGGCAGCUCGCUGGGACGUUACUGACGCUGAGGCAUGAAAGCGUGGGGAGCAAACAGG